RNAcentral lists this long non-coding RNA (886 nucleotides) under Gallus gallus (chicken). RNAcentral describes it as "long non-coding RNA NONGGAT005855". The record is from RNAcentral. Lineage: Eukaryota; Metazoa; Chordata; Aves; Galliformes; Phasianidae.
ACCUCUCCUCAUCCUGGGUGCCUUUCGGCUCAACCACCCUUCUGGAGGCCAGAAAACCCACUAUUGUCACGACGCAGUUUCACUGAUGAUUGCUAGAGUGGUGGAGUUCUAUUUUGCUCCUGCUGCUUUUCCAGUUACAGGACAGCGACCUGAGGAGAGAAGGAAGCCAAGCAAGGUGCACUGAAGAUGGGCCAAGGCCUACAUCCUAUGGAAACUCUUGGGAUAGAUGAAAUCCCACCACUGAUUGACACCUAUCUUCUUUAUCUUCUUUAGCACUUAGCCUCUAAAACUUGGUGGAAAUUCACAAGUCUGGAAGUGGUCGUUGCAUUCUUGAGUAAGAUGCCGUCCAUUUUACAACCGGCAUUUGUCUGUAGGUUCCACAAUGGCUCUUUUAUUUAAAUGCUCACUCCUUGCCUAAGGAUUAUUGACUGGAGCCUUUCAUUCCUGACAUCACCCAGUUUCUCCAUGCUGACCAGCUGUGUGUGGAGAAGCAUACUCAGAAGAUGGCUACUCCGGGGUCAGCACUGCCAGCCAGCUGCUUAUUCUUGCAUGGGAUAUCCGCCUACUCCUUGCAAAAGCAGUGCCUGGGUGACCCAUCUGCUAAUGCAGAGGGGCGCUUCUGAGGCCGAGCAGUUGCAUGGCCUGGCAGAAAUACAUUUUGGGGAGUGCACAGCUUAUGUUCACACACAAGAAAGAACUUUACAGCACCAGGCACUUAGAUGUCCUUCACGCCUUCACCUCUCUAAGGAAUACCCUUUCUGAGCCAUCCUGUGCUAACCUGGACAUUAGAAUGGAAUGCAGACAAACAUACAUAGCAACUUGUCCCCUCUGAUUUACCCAAAGCCAUUUCAUUUCUUUGUGUUCACCCGCAUUACUUUGAUCCAAG